This is a long non-coding RNA of Budorcas taxicolor (takin), 439 nucleotides long. RefSeq lists it as uncharacterized. The record is from RefSeq and is a predicted model, not a curated record. Lineage: Eukaryota; Metazoa; Chordata; Mammalia; Artiodactyla; Bovidae. The transcript is spliced from 3 exons.
GUUUUAAACCCGGCGGGUGGUGGCACCACUAACCAGCCAGGAGGACCACAGGCUCCUGCACUCUGGUGAGUCCUACCACCCCGCUCUCCAUACACCCUCCUACCUCAGACCUCUUCAGGGUCUUUCCCAUCAGAAUAUCAGCAACAUGAGUGCAGAAGCUUGCUCACUGCUGUGUCUUCAGUGCCCAGCUCAUGGCCUGGCACACAGGGUCAGGAACAGCGCCCCCCCCUUAGCUCAAUGACUGAAUGACCGGGAGACGAGAUCAGACCGGCAGCUUCUGUGUCUCUUUAAUAUCCUCCAGGCCCAUCCAACCCUCCCCCUCCCCCACUCCCACUCCCGCCGCCUUCAAUGGGACGGGGCGGGGGGAGGCGCGGGUGCACCCUCCCGCAGCCCAAGGACUAAGGCACCAGGUGGCUGCAGCAAGCCGGCGCAGACACAG